CCUACGGGGUGCAGCAGUGGGGAAUAUUGGACAAUGGGCGAAAGCCUGAUCCAGCCAUGCCGCGUGUGUGAAGAAGGCCUUCGGGUUGUAAAGCACUUUCAGUGGGGAAGAAAGCCUUGGGGCUAAUACCCUCGAGGAAGGACAUCACCCACAGAAGAAGCACCGGCUAACUCCGUGCCAGCAGCCGCGGUAAUACGGAGGGUGCGAGCGUUAAUCGGAAUUACUGGGCGUAAAGCGCGCGUAGGCGGUCUGAUAAGCCGGUUGUGAAAGCCCCGGGCUCAACCUGGGAACGGCAUCCGGAACUGUCAGGCUAGAGUGCAGGAGAGGAAGGUAGAAUUCCCGGUGUAGCGGUGAAAUGCGUAGAGAUCGGGAGGAAUACCAGUGGCGAAGGCGGUCUUCUGGACUGACACUGACGCUGAGGGGCGAAAGCGUGGGUAGCAAACAGGAUUAGAUACCCGGGUAGUC
RNAcentral lists this ribosomal RNA (465 nucleotides) under Vreelandella stevensii. Its description in RNAcentral is "partial 16S ribosomal RNA". It matches the Rfam family "Bacterial small subunit ribosomal RNA", at positions 338 to 795 of the family's 1533-position model. The record is from RNAcentral. Lineage: Bacteria; Pseudomonadati; Pseudomonadota; Gammaproteobacteria; Oceanospirillales; Halomonadaceae.